UGCUACUUAUCUCUUUCUUGCCUUUCAAAACUGAAAAACUCUCUCUCUCCCUCUCUCUUCCCAUCUGCUAUGAUCUUUAAUUAGAGUCAAGUGCCGAUAUCUCCUCCCUUUUUCCACAGCCUAUGUCAAAUACUCAACUAUCCCAAUCUCAGUCUCAUCUCCUUCUAAUCAAACAACCACUCAGAGUAGUCUAUGUGGAAUCAUGCCUAGUUUGUUGUUGAGCAUAGUGGAUCGGCUGACUUUCUUCCUCUCUCUAAUGUAUUCGAACCCAAAUCCGAUCCCCAAUUUAAGAAAAAGAUAGAUUGAUAUCAGAAUCAUUGUGAGUAGAAAUAGGAGGUGGAGGCAUGGAUGAUUGGUUUCAGUAAUCAUAUCUAUGCUGAUUGGGUUAUGGCAUGGAUGAUUUCUAAUCAAGCAGAUCUAUCCAUUGAAAUAAUGCUCUACACCGAAGACUGAUUACGAUGUCGAUGGAGAUUUUGACCCAGAAGAUCUUCCAACAACCUCUUAUAACAAUUUGAAUUUUGAAUUCGAUUCUACUGAACCAGAAGAUAUGCAUGCAAGGACCAUGUUUGUUGAUGAACCAGAUCUGGGAAUAAAAGAAAUAAUCAGACGUAUUAAAAUUUAGAAAUUUUAAACAAUUGGUAAAAUUAUUUUCUUUAAUACAAUUGGACCGAUGAAAUGUCAAAAAUAUCUGUAACAAAAAAAAAAUGUCAAAAAUAUAUUAUUUAAUA
Molecule: long non-coding RNA, 728 nt
Organism: Rosa rugosa (rugosa rose)
Lineage: Eukaryota; Viridiplantae; Streptophyta; Magnoliopsida; Rosales; Rosaceae
Exons: 3
Source: RefSeq, a predicted model, not a curated record